UACGGAGGGGACAAGCGUUGUUCGGAUUUACUGGGCGUAAAGGGCGCGUAGGCGGGCCUGUAAGUCGGGUGUGAAAGCUCGCGGCUCAACUGCCAGAGUGCAUUCGAUACUGCAAGUCUUGAGUACAGGAGAGGAAAGUGGAAUUCCAGGUGUAGCGGUGAAAUGCGUAGAUAUCCGGAAGAACACCAGUGGCGAAGGCGGCUUUCUGGCCUGAUACUGACGCUAAAGCGCGAAGGCGUGGGGAGCAAACAGG
This 253-nucleotide ribosomal RNA is filed under the name uncultured bacterium. Its description in RNAcentral is "partial 16S ribosomal RNA". It matches the Rfam family "Bacterial small subunit ribosomal RNA", at positions 524 to 776 of the family's 1533-position model. The record is from RNAcentral.